Molecule: ribosomal RNA, 253 nt
Filed under: uncultured bacterium
Lineage: Bacteria
Description: partial 16S ribosomal RNA
Rfam family: Bacterial small subunit ribosomal RNA
Source: RNAcentral
UACGGAGGGGGCUAGCGUUGUUCGGAAUUACUGGGCGUAAAGCGCGCGUAGGCGGCUAGGAAAGUUGGAGGUGAAAGCCCAGAGCUCAACUCUGGAACUGCCUUCAAAACUUCCUAGCUAGAGGCAAGGAGAGGAGAGCGGAAUACCCAGUGUAGAGGUGAAAUUCGUAGAUAUUGGGUGGAACACCAGUGGCGAAGGCGGCUCUCUGGCCUUGAUCUGACGCUGAGGCGCGAAAGCGUGGGGAGCAAACAGG